Molecule: ribosomal RNA, 460 nt
Filed under: uncultured bacterium
Lineage: Bacteria
Description: partial 16S ribosomal RNA
Rfam family: Bacterial small subunit ribosomal RNA
Source: RNAcentral
CCUACGGGAGACAGCAGUGAGGAAUAUUGGUCAAUGGGCGCGAGCCUGAACCAGCCAAGUAGCGUGAAGGAUGACUGCCCUACGGGUUGUCAACUUCUUUUAUAAAGGAAUAAAGUGAGGCAAGUGUGCCUUUUUGUAUGGACUUUAUGAAUAAGGAUCGGGUAACUCCGUGCCAGCAGCCGAGGUGAUACGGUGGAUCCGAGCGUUAUCCGGAUUUGUUGGGUUUAAAGGGAGCGUAGAUGGGUUGUUAAGUCAGUUGUGAAAGUUUGCGGCUCAACCGUAAAAUUGCAAUUGAUACUGGCAGCCUUGAGUACAGUUGAGGUAGGCGGAAUUCGUGGUGUAGCGGUGAAAUGCGUAGAUAUCACGAAGAACUCCGAUUGCGAAGGCAGCCUACUAAGCUGCCACUGACAUUGAUGCACGAAAGUGUGGGUAGCAAACAGGAUUAGAUACCCUUGUAGUC